GAUGAACGCUGACAGAAUGCUUAACACAUGCAAGUCAACUUGAACUUCGGUUUGGGUGGCGGACGGGUGAGUAACGCGUAAAGAACUUGCCUCACAGAUAGGGACAACAUUUGGAAACGAAUGCUAAUACCUGAUAUUAUGAUUUUAGGGCAUCCUAGAAUUAUGAAAGCUAUAUGCGCUGUGGGAGAGCUUUGCGUCCCAUUAGCUAGUUGGAGAGGUAACGGCUCACCAAGGCGAUGAUGGGUAGCCGGCCCGAGAGGGUGAUCGGCCACAAGGGGACUGAGACACGGCCCAGACUCCUACGGGAGGCAGCAGUAGGGAAUCUUCGGCAAUGGGGGGAACCCUGACCGAGCAACGCCGCGUGAGUGAAGAAGGUUUUCGGAUCGUAAAGCUCUGUUGUAAGAGAAGAACGAGUGUGAGAGUGGAAAGUUCACACUGUGACGGUAUCUUACCAGAAAGGGACGGCUAACUACGUGCCAGCAGCCGCGGUAAUACGUAGGUCCCGAGCGUUGUCCGGAUUUAUUGGGCGUAAAGCGAGCGCAGGCGGUUAGAUAAGUCUGAAGUUAAAGGCUGUGGCUUAACCAUAGUACGCUUUGGAAACUGUUUAACUUGAGUGCAAGAGGGGAGAGUGGAAUUCCAUGUGUAGCGGUGAAAUGCGUAGAUAUUAGGAGGAAUACCGGUGGCGAAAGGCGACUUUCUGGACUUUUUACUGACGCUCAGGUACGAAAGCGUGGGGAGCAAACAGG
RNAcentral lists this ribosomal RNA (746 nucleotides) under uncultured Prevotella sp. RNAcentral's name for it is "bacterial SSU rRNA". It matches the Rfam family "Bacterial small subunit ribosomal RNA", at positions 28 to 776 of the family's 1533-position model. Lineage: Bacteria; Pseudomonadati; Bacteroidota; Bacteroidia; Bacteroidales; Prevotellaceae. The record is from RNAcentral.